GAUCAUGGCUCAGAUUGAACGCUGGCGGCAGGCCUAACACAUGCAAGUCGAACGGUAACAGGAAGCAGCUUGCUGCUUUGCUGACGAGUGGCGGACGGGUGAGUAAUGUCUGGGAAACUGCCUGAUGGGAGGGGGAUAACUACUGGAAACGGUAGCUAAUACCGCAUAACGUCGCAAGACCAAAGAGGGGGACCUUCGGGCCUCUUGCCAUCGGAUGUGCCCAGAUGGGAUUAGCUAGG
This 239-nucleotide ribosomal RNA is filed under the name uncultured bacterium. Its description in RNAcentral is "partial 16S ribosomal RNA". It matches the Rfam family "Bacterial small subunit ribosomal RNA", at positions 15 to 249 of the family's 1533-position model. The record is from RNAcentral.